UUCUUCGAAAAUGCUUCUGUUAUCCUCAUGACUAAUUAAUUUGAACAUGAGUUUUAUAAAAGAAAGCCCUUUUAUAUUUCGACACUUAAUGAAGUAGAUGUCUCAAAACAUAAGUGAACAUCCUGUUGACUUUUUCCAACUUAAGCUUCCUUACGCGGUAAUAUAGAGGAUGCAAGCGUUAUCCGGAAUGAUUGGGCGUAAAGCGUCUGUAGGUGGCUUUUUAAGUCCGCCGUCAAAUCCCAGGGCUCAACCCUGGACAGGCGGUGGAAACUACCAAGCUGGAGUACGGUAGGGGCAGAGGGAAUUUCCGGUGGAGCGGUGAAAUGCGUAGAGAUCGGAAAGAACACCAACNAAGACGAAAGCUAGGGGAGCAAAUGGGAUUAGAUACCCAGUAGUCCUAGCCGUAAACGAUGGAUACUAGGCGUUGUGCGUAUCGACCCGUGUAGUGCUGUAGCUAACGCGUUAAGUAUCCCGCCUGGGGAGUAGGUUCGCAAGAAUGAAACUCAAAGGAAUUGAUGGAAGAAAGAGACUAAGUGUCUCAAACCUUACCAAAAUCGUUUUGGAUUCGAUCUGACCACCCUUAUA
RNAcentral lists this non-coding RNA (585 nucleotides) under Nicotiana sylvestris (wood tobacco). RNAcentral's name for it is "Bacterial small subunit ribosomal RNA". It matches the Rfam family "Bacterial small subunit ribosomal RNA", at positions 478 to 1385 of the family's 1533-position model. The record is from Rfam by way of RNAcentral. Lineage: Eukaryota; Viridiplantae; Streptophyta; Magnoliopsida; Solanales; Solanaceae.